Molecule: ribosomal RNA, 496 nt
Filed under: uncultured bacterium
Lineage: Bacteria
Description: partial 16S ribosomal RNA
Rfam family: Bacterial small subunit ribosomal RNA
Source: RNAcentral
GAUGAACGCUGGCGGCGUGCCUAAUACAUGCAAGUCGAGCGAACGGACGAGAAGCUUGCUUCUCUGAUGUUAGCGGCGGACGGGUGAGUAACACGUGGAUAACCUACCUAUAAGACUGGGAUAACUUCGGGAAACCGGAGCUAAUACCGGAUGAUAUUUUGAACCGCAUGGUUCAAAAGUGAAAGACGGUCUUGCUGCCACUUAUAGAUGGAUCCGCGCUGCAUUAGCUAGUUGGUAAGGUAACGGCUUACCAAGGCAACGAUGCAUAGCCAACCUGAGAGGGUGAUCGGCCACACUGGAACUGAGACACGGUCCAGACUCCUACGGGAGGCAGCAGUAGGGAAUCUUCCGCAAUGGGCGAAAGCCUGACGGAGCAACGCCGCGUGAGUGAUGAAGGUCUUCGGAUCGUAAAACUCUGUUAUUAGGGAAGAACAUAUGUGUAAGUAACUGUGCACAUCUUGACGGUACCUAAUCAGAAAGCCACGGCUAACUACGU